GCANGGGAUGUACGUGNUACGGGGUGUUAGGGCACGACACCGGAGAGGGAGCCUGAGAAACGGCUACCACAUCCAAGGAAGGCAGCAGGCGCGCAAAUUACCCAAUCCCGACACGGGGAGGUAGUGACAAUAAAUAACAAUACAGGGUUCUUUUGGAUCUUGUAAUUGGAAUGAGUACAAUUUAAAUCUCUUAACGAGGAACAAUUGGAGGGCAAGUCUGGUGCCAGCAGCCGCGGUAAUUCCAGCUCCAAUAGCGUAUAUUAAAGUUGUUGCAGUUAAAAAGCUCGUAGUUGAAUUUCGGGAUCAAUAUUUCGGUCAUGCCGUUGGUAUGCACUGUUAUCAUUGAUUUCUCACCUUCUAAAGAACCGUAAUGCCAUUAAUUUGGUGUUACGGGGAAUUAGGACUGUUACCUUGAAAAAAUUAGAGUGUUUAAAGCAGGCUCACGCUUGAAUACAUUAGCAUGGAAUAAUGAAAUAGGACAUCCGAUUCUAUUUUGUUGGUUUCUAGGAUCGAUGUAAUGAUUAAUAGGGAUAGUUGGGGGCAUUAGUAUUCAAUUGUCAGAGGUGAAAUUCUUGGAUUUAUUGAAGACUAACUACUGCGAAAGCAUUUGCCAAGGAUGUUUUCAUUAAUCAAGAACGAAAGUUAGGGGAUCGAAGACGAUCAGAUACCGUCGUAGUCUUAACCAUAAACUAUGCCGACUAGGGAUCGGAUGAUGUUAAUUUUUUAAUGACUCAUUCGGCGCCUUACGGGAAACCAAUUUUUUNGGGGUUCACA
This 774-nucleotide ribosomal RNA is filed under the name Funneliformis mosseae. RNAcentral's name for it is "SSU rRNA". It matches the Rfam family "Eukaryotic small subunit ribosomal RNA", at positions 344 to 1116 of the family's 1831-position model. Lineage: Eukaryota; Fungi; Glomeromycota; Glomeromycetes; Glomerales; Glomeraceae. The record is from RNAcentral.